UCCCUCUCUCCCGUUAUCUAAUCCCAUCUGAACCCCUCUCUCUCUCUCCCUAAAUUUCUCUCCCAAUCUCAUAAUGCGAUUGCAAUCGCCGCUAUCUGAGUCACUGUUUCUGAAUUCGUCGAGGUUUGAUCGGACUAGGAGUUUAUGACAUCGCAGUGGCGACGGAGGAGAGGCUAGGUUAAGGUUUGAGUUUUCGGGAGCUAUCUGCUCGAAAUCGGUGACAAUGGCGCCGAGGCUCGGUUCCAGCGACGCAUUAGACUUCAAGUUCCUUCUCUUUCUGGUAGAAAUUUACGAUCCCAUCGCUGUGCUUGUCUACUUGAUUGUUCUAUAAUCUCGCCGUCAGAUUCACGCCUUGGUUUUCAGAUCAACGCAUGAUAGAUUUCCGAUUCAUUCUUUUCACGAUUCGGCAAAUUUUUUCGCGAUAUAAGUGUGGUGAGAGAAAUGAACGGCGGCGGAGAGGGGCUCGCGGCUCCGGCGAUGGCGCCGCUCGACUGAAAGUUUUCUCAAGUUUUUGGAGAACAGACCGUCAGCGAGGAAGUUCAGGAAGGUACUCUUCUCGAUUCUCUCCUUUCAUUUUCGGUUGAGUUAGAGAUUUCAUUGUUUCUUGUCAUACUCAUUCUCAUUAAUACUCAUUGCAAUUUUCACUUGUUGGAUGAUUAGCUUUAAAUUGAUAUUAGGUGAGGUAUUCAUGUCUAGAAUAAGAAUUGUCGUACUCCAAUGAAAUUAAGAUGAAUUAAAGUGGGGUUUAGCUAGUUUGAUUAUAGACGGAAGCACUUAAACUUUAGUCUGCACGGUUUAUCAUAUAUAUGGUUUAGUUAAUGGUUGUUUGCUCUGUGGCUAAUCAUCGAUGAAAUAUUUGGAAUUAUCUACUUGGUGUGUUUUUCCAGCGCUGUAUUGGUGCGCUUGAAGUAUAUUGGAUUUGAUUCUAAAAAUUGUUGGUAGACAAAUUUCCUUUAUACAUAUGUAGUUUCAGGCCUUUAUGAUUACUGACUCUUCAAAUUGGUGACUAGCUUCUGAGUUGUCAUGUGUUGUUAUUUUGAUCUUGUAGAUUGAUGUUUAUUCGUUUAGGAUUGUUAUAUGGGAAUUGCUUACUGGCGAUGAACCUAUACAGAUAUGCAUUGUGCUUCUAUAAUUGGUAAGGACCAAUGUUUUGGAGGCUUAUGAUCUAUUUGUGUAUCGUGAAUGAUUCCUUCCAUUUUACAUUUGGUAGGUUCACUUAUAUAGGUUACUGUUAUCAUUUUUUUAAUAUAUGCACACCAAUCUUAGAGAAGCUUCACCUUAUGUGCAGAUAUAAAUUUGAUUUCAAUUUCAUUUAUUGCUUGGAAUUGUGGUCACUAUCGUCUACUUCAUAUUUGUGUGUGUGUGUCAAAUUAUCUUUAUGAAGUGUCAAUUAUGUGGCUCUUACCGGCAAUGCUUCAUGAUACCCAAUAGGAGCUAUGAUGGCAUGACCGCAAUGUUUUUCUUAUUUUGGUUGGGGACUAUGGUACUCUGAUAUCAAAGCCCAGCUUUCCUUUUGAAGACGUGUAUAUAAAUUAAUCAUGAGUACCAUGGUGAAAGCUAUGUCAUGAGAUAUAGCUUUCUGCUUCCAAAUUAGAUCUAGACUACUGCACCAAUUUUUGUUAUUUUUCAUUUUCAGCAUAUGCUUCUUUAUGUCAGAUGUUAUAGCCAGGGACAUCAGAUAAUUAUAUGCCCGGCUGAUGCUUUCGUCAAAUGUAAAAAGUGAUUCAUUA
Rosa chinensis is the source of this 1730-nucleotide long non-coding RNA. RefSeq lists it as uncharacterized. The record is from RefSeq and is a predicted model, not a curated record. The transcript is spliced from 2 exons. NCBI's taxonomy places the organism in Eukaryota, Viridiplantae, Streptophyta, Magnoliopsida, Rosales, Rosaceae.